UUUACAUUUUCCGUUUGUCUUAGUGCACGAUGUAAUUAUAGAAGAGUCAAGUUUUAAAUAGUAAAAACCACCAAAAAACUGCGACCGCGUUCUAGCACGUCAUUAUUUUUGCGACUGUCUGGUGCUCUGUGUGACGGCUGUUUUUUUUUUUUAGGCUCGAGCCUAACGAACAUUAGAUUGAGUGUUACUCUUGUCAGGUUCUGGGCUGUUUGCAGAAAAGCACUCGUUGUGCUGAGGGUUGCAUGCCUGGCAACACGCGCUGGUUGCCGUAGACGACCGUUUCGGGUAUGAAUUGCAUUCAGCAUCGGGGGUGUAUUGCUGCUUGACUUCCUGCUUAUCAUGACUGUUCAUCUCUUGCCGACUGGACGAGUGGCGCGAUCUCCGCAUGUUUGGUAUGUGCCAGCAAUUGUACAAUAGUAAAUUAAUGCUAUGCAUAUUUUAGCUCAUAGUCAGGCUUUUGCAGAUGACUUGAUCUGCCGUUUUAAGGGCACUUGAAGACUACACUUACCGGCUCUAGGAUUUGUCGUCGCUGCUGUUUUGUUCCCAUUACAAUUUUAUUUAUUUUUAUUUUUUGUGUUCUUUUCCUUAUCAACAUGCUUCAGUGCAGUUGCUCACAUCUGAGCACGCUUCCGCACUGCUGAUGUUUUAUUUUGUUUUUGUUUGAGUUAUUUGGCUGUAUUAGUUGGGUGUGUGUAAUUAAUUGUUUAGUUUACCCAAAAAAAAACACAGAAUGUAAAUUAUACUGAAACUGUUUCAGUAUAAUUUACAUUCUGUGUUUUUUUGGGGUUGUUUUAUUAUUUGUGAUUUUGUUGAUGUAUCGUUUUGUAAUUGAUGUUUUGUUUCUUUAUUUUUGGGUGCUAGUUUUUGUGCUUUGCUUGUAUUGUGAAUAAUGUUUAUUUUUCUUUGCUCACUGUGAGUUAUCCCUGACUGGUUCCAAGGAAAAGAGGGAUUGUGAGUGGUAACCGGCCUAGGGAGACUGUUCCUGUGGGCCCGUAGCGAUCCAUUCACAAUCACUGACACUGAUGAGUGCAGGUUUGAGUGGAUUGUGGAGUGUUUUGUCUAGUUGCGCAUAGUAUUGUAUGUCUCGUAUGUGGUGUCCUGUACAUUGGGUACCCAUGAGUAUGAUUGUUUGAUUUAUUUUGUUGAUUUAUUUUUGUAAUUCUUUAUUUCUUGUGUUUCAGGCACGGUGAGCCCGGUGCAGGAGGGCUAGUUGUCCAAUUUUGGUGACGGGUCCUGAUGAGACACAGUGUGUGGUCUGCAAUCCACAGUGAUUGGUCUUAGUUGACGUGAUUAAGUGUGAAGUGUGGUGCACGUGUGGGUGCUCCUUUACCAUCGCUAAGACUAGCGACGUCUGGCACUAGCUCAUCCUGCUUCUGGUGAUCACGAGCCCUGUGAGCUGUUAUUGUGUGAUGUUCUAAGUUAAGCUAACUGACUGGCACACCAGCAUUUUUAUCUUUGUCUAAAUAAAGAAUCUUUUUGUAUUUUUCUAUA
Long non-coding RNA from Pimephales promelas (fathead minnow), 1491 nucleotides. RefSeq lists it as uncharacterized. NCBI's taxonomy places the organism in Eukaryota, Metazoa, Chordata, Actinopteri, Cypriniformes, Leuciscidae. The record is from RefSeq and is a predicted model, not a curated record.